Molecule: long non-coding RNA, 265 nt
Filed under: Homo sapiens (human)
Lineage: Eukaryota; Metazoa; Chordata; Mammalia; Primates; Hominidae
Description: HSALNT0073967
Source: RNAcentral
GACCAGCAGGGCUCUCGGACAUAUGAAUAAGAAUACCCACUUGGAAAAGAGAAGAAGUACAUACCCCUUCAUCUUAGGUCAUGUCUUUUUCUGAGGUCCUAUUUCAGUAGUACAGACGCCUCUGAGCUGAAGAGAGGUAAAGAAAAGAACAUGCUGUCUCGCACACAAAAUCUUUGACUGACCACCAGCCACCUCCCAGUAUCUGGAGAAAUUCUGGCCUCACGAACUGUCCGCAAAGUAAGUUUUAUUUAAGUACCCUGAUUAA